RNAcentral lists this ribosomal RNA (435 nucleotides) under uncultured bacterium. RNAcentral's name for it is "bacterial SSU rRNA". It matches the Rfam family "Bacterial small subunit ribosomal RNA", at positions 355 to 796 of the family's 1533-position model. The record is from RNAcentral.
UCGAGGAUCUUCGGCAAUGGGCGCAAGCCUGACCGAGCGACGCCGCGUGUGCGAUGAAGGCCUUCGGGUUGUAAAGCACUGUCGAGGGGGAGGAAAGCCCGCAAGGGUCUGACCUAUCCCUGGAGGAAGCACGGGCUAAGUUCGUGCCAGCAGCCGCGGUAAGACGAACCGUGCGAACGUUGUUCGGAAUCACUGGGCUUAAAGGGCGCGUAGGCGGGCCAGCAAGUCCGGGGUGAAAGCCCCCGGCUCAACCGGGGAAUAGCCUUGGAUACUGCUGGCCUCGAGGGAGGUAGGGGCAUGUGGAACUUCCGGUGGAGCGGUGAAAUGCGUAGAUAUCGGAAGGAACGCCGGUGGCGAAAGCGACGUGCUGGACCUCUUCUGACGCUGAGGCGCGAAAGCCAGGGGAGCGAACGGGAUUAGAUACCCCCGUAGUCC